This 426-nucleotide ribosomal RNA is filed under the name uncultured bacterium. RNAcentral describes it as "bacterial SSU rRNA". It matches the Rfam family "Bacterial small subunit ribosomal RNA", at positions 354 to 796 of the family's 1533-position model. The record is from RNAcentral.
GUGAGGAAUUUUCCGCAAUGGGCGAAAGCCUGACGGAGCAAUGCCGCGUGAAGGAUGAAGGCCUAUGGGUUGUAAACUUCUUUUCUCAGAAAAGAAUUAUGACGGUAUCUGAGGAAUAAGCAUCGGCUAACUCUGUGCCAGCAGCCGCGGUAAGACAGAGGAUGCAAGCGUUAUCCGGAAUGAUUGGGCAUAAAGCGUCUGUAGGUUGUUUAAAAAGUAUUCUGUCAAAGAUUAGGGCUUAACCCUAGAUAGGCAGAAUAAACUUUUAAGCUAGAGUUUGGUAGAGGCAGAGGGAAUUCCCGGUGGAGCGGUGAAAUGCGUAGAUAUCGGGAGGAACACCAAAGGCGAAGGCACUCUGCUGGGCCAAUACUAACACUGAGAGACGAAAGCGAGGGGAGCAAAUGGGAUUAGAAACCCUGGUAGUCC